This 442-nucleotide ribosomal RNA is filed under the name uncultured bacterium. RNAcentral's name for it is "partial 16S ribosomal RNA". It matches the Rfam family "Bacterial small subunit ribosomal RNA", at positions 338 to 795 of the family's 1533-position model. The record is from RNAcentral.
CCUACGGGGGGCUGCAGUGGGGAAUAUUGGGCAAUGGGCGCAAGCCUGACCCAGCAACGCCGCGUGAAGGAAGAAGGCUUUCGGGAUGUAAACUUCUGUUAAGAGGGAAGAGCAAAAGACGGUACCUCUUGAAUAAGCCACGGCUAACCACGUGCCAGCAGCCGCGGUAAUACGUAGGUGGCAAGCGUUGUCCGGAUUUACUGGGUGUAAAGGGCGUGUAGCCGGACUAACAAGUCAGAUGUGAAAGUCCGGGGCGCAACCCCGGACCUGCCUUGGAAACUGUUGGUCUUGAGUAGCGGAGAGGCAGGCGGAAUUCCUAGUGUAGCGGUGAAAUGCGUAGAUAUUAGGAGGAACACCAGUGGCGAAGGCGGCCUGCUGGACGACAACUGACGGUGAGGCGCGAAAGCGUGGGGAGCAAACAGGAUUAGAUACCCUUGUAGUC